UUGAUUUGUCAGGUGACACAGUGGAGUCCUCUGGAAGAUCGGGUCUGAAGGUUGACUGUAAUCUGGGACGCCCUACAGAUGUCAGAGGGUGUUCCCCAUGGAACACCUCAGGAUGGGUCUGUAUGCUUGCCUGUCCUGUGGAAGUAGCCGCUUUGGCUGCUGUCAUAUCUGCUGCCAUGGAAUGAACAAUGUCGGAGCAGAGAGAGAGUUCCUCCUUCAGGGUUUUCAUAACAUCAGAUAUUCCAGUUGCUUGUCCAUAUGCUUGAUCGCUUGUUUUUGUUGAUCCUGGAUGAAGCUGGUCAGCUUGGUGUUCAAUACUCCCAUUUGUGAGAGUCAGGCUUACCAGGGGUCAGAGGAACAGAAAGUGCAGGUGUUGCAGUCAGGUCCAUAUCCAGCAGUGAAUAAUUUGAAGAGCCCGAAUCCAGAACAGUAUUGGAAAUGCCUGGUACAUCCAUCAUGUCAAGGAGUAACUCCGAGUCGGCAGCCAUUUUGCUUGGUUUGCUGUUUCAAUAAAGUAUUUGUCCUUUGUCUCUGUUUUCCUUCACAAUACAGUGGUAAUUGGGUUUUUCCAUUCAA
Long non-coding RNA from Melanotaenia boesemani (Boeseman's rainbowfish), 576 nucleotides. RefSeq lists it as uncharacterized. The transcript has 3 exons. The record is from RefSeq and is a predicted model, not a curated record. Lineage: Eukaryota; Metazoa; Chordata; Actinopteri; Atheriniformes; Melanotaeniidae.